This 468-nucleotide ribosomal RNA is filed under the name uncultured bacterium. RNAcentral describes it as "partial 16S ribosomal RNA". It matches the Rfam family "Bacterial small subunit ribosomal RNA", at positions 28 to 507 of the family's 1533-position model. The record is from RNAcentral.
GACGAACGCUGGCGGCGUGCUUAACACAUGCAAGUCGAACGGAAAGGCCCUGCUUUUGUGGGGUGCUCGAGUGGCGAAAGGGUGAGUAACACGUGAGUAACCUGCCCUUGACUUUGGGAUAACUUCAGGAAACUGGGGCUAAUACCGGAUAGGAGCUCCUGCUGCAUGGUGGGGGUUGGAAAGUUUCGGCGGUUGGGGAUGGACUCGCGGCUUAUCAGCUUGUUGGUGGGGUAGUGGCUUACCAAGGCUUUGGCGGGUAGCCGGCCUGAGAGGGUGACCGGCCACAUUGGGACUGCGAUACGGCCCAGAAUCCUACGGGAGGCAGCAGUGGGGAAUAUUGCGCAAUGGGCGGAAGCCUGAUGCAGCAACGCCGCGUGCGGGAUGACGGCCUUCGGGUUGUAAACCGCUUUCGCCUGUGACGAAGCGUGAGUGACGGUAAUGGGUAAAGAAGCACCGGCUAACUACGUG